RNAcentral lists this ribosomal RNA (447 nucleotides) under uncultured bacterium. RNAcentral describes it as "bacterial SSU rRNA". It matches the Rfam family "Bacterial small subunit ribosomal RNA", at positions 355 to 825 of the family's 1533-position model. The record is from RNAcentral.
UGGGGAAUAUUGGACAAUGGGCGAAAGCCUGAUCCAGCAAUGCCGCGUGAGUGAUGAAGGCCUUAGGGUUGUAAAGCUCUUUUACCCGGGAUGAUAAUGACAGUACCGGGAGAAUAAGCUCCGGCUAACUCCGUGCCAGCAGCCGCGGUAAUACGGAGGGAGCUAGCGUUGUUCGGAAUUACUGGGCGUAAAGCGCGCGUAGGCGGUCUUUUAAGUCAGAGGUGAAAGCCCGGGGCUCAACCCCGGAAUAGCCUUUGAAACUGGAAGACUUGAAUCUUGGAGAGGUCAGUGGAAUUCCGAGUGUAGAGGUGAAAUUCGUAGAUAUUCGGAAGAACACCAGUGGCGAAGGCGACUGACUGGACAAGUAUUGACGCUGAGGUGCGAAAGCGUGGGGAGCAAACAGGAUUAGAUACCCCCGUAGUCCCUGAGCGGGCUGGCAAGGCGCAU